CAAUGUUUGAAAAGUCCAUCGAGAUUGGCGUAGAAACUGUGCAGUUUGACUGGGGCCAUCCCUGAGAUGAGGCUGGCCUUGGUUUGCCCUGCAUCCCUGCUGUCUGUCCAGCCUCUUCCUUGGCCUGCCCAAAGUGGAUUUCGGAGACUAAGGCUCCUAUCUCUGCCCUUUACCUGGCACUUUGUUGGACGUGGA
This 195-nucleotide long non-coding RNA is filed under the name Fukomys damarensis (Damara mole-rat). RNAcentral's name for it is "lncRNA (ENSFDAG00000023518.1)". The record is from RNAcentral. Lineage: Eukaryota; Metazoa; Chordata; Mammalia; Rodentia; Bathyergidae.